CCUACGGGAGGCAGCAGUGAGGGAUAUUGCGCAAUGGGCGAAAGCCUGACGCAGCGACGCCGCGUGGGCGAGGAAGGCCUUCGGGUUGUAAAGCCCUUUUGGCAGGGAAGAGCAAGGACUGUACCUGCAGAACAAGUCACGGCUAACUACGUGCCAGCAGCCGCGGUAAAACGUAGGUGGCGAGCGUUAUCCGGAUUUACUGGGCGUAAAGAGCGCGUAGGCGGUCGAUUAAGUUGGAUGUGAAAGCCCCCGGCUUAACGGGGGAGGGUCAUCUGAAACGGAUCGACUUGAAGGCAGGAGAGGGAAGUGGAAUUCCCGGUGUAGUGGUGAAAUGCGUAGAUAUCGGGAGGAACACCAGUGGCGAAGGCGGCUUCCUG
RNAcentral lists this ribosomal RNA (377 nucleotides) under uncultured bacterium. Its description in RNAcentral is "partial 16S ribosomal RNA". It matches the Rfam family "Bacterial small subunit ribosomal RNA", at positions 338 to 731 of the family's 1533-position model. The record is from RNAcentral.